UGUUUGCUGUGCUUGGUGACAUCUACAAGGACGUUAUCUGAGUAAGGCGGCUCUUAAAACGCGCCCUAUCCGUGAUUACAUCCAAACUGAAAGAGAUUCUGAGCAAACA
This is a small nucleolar RNA of Phragmites australis (common reed), 109 nucleotides long. RefSeq annotates it as small nucleolar RNA Z118/Z121/Z120. The transcript has a single exon. Lineage: Eukaryota; Viridiplantae; Streptophyta; Magnoliopsida; Poales; Poaceae. The record is from RefSeq and is a predicted model, not a curated record.